Molecule: ribosomal RNA, 515 nt
Filed under: Weissella cibaria
Lineage: Bacteria; Bacillati; Bacillota; Bacilli; Lactobacillales; Lactobacillaceae
Description: bacterial SSU rRNA
Rfam family: Bacterial small subunit ribosomal RNA
Source: RNAcentral
AUNCNUGCAGUCGACGCUUUGUGGUUCAACUGAUUUGAAGAGCUUGCUCAGAUAUGACGAUGGACAUUGCAAAGAGUGGCGAACGGGUGAGUAACACGUGGGAAACCUACCUCUUAGCAGGGGAUAACAUUUGGAAACAGAUGCUAAUACCGUAUAACAAUAGCAACCGCAUGGUUGCUACUUAAAAGAUGGUUCUGCUAUCACUAAGAGAUGGUCCCGCGGUGCAUUAGUUAGUUGGUGAGGUAAUGGCUCACCAAGACGAUGAUGCAUAGCCGAGUUGAGAGACUGAUCGGCCACAAUGGGACUGAGACACGGCCCAUACUCCUACGGGAGGCAGCAGUAGGGAAUCUUCCACAAUGGGCGAAAGCCUGAUGGAGCAACGCCGCGUGUGUGAUGAAGGGUUUCGGCUCGUAAAACACUGUUGUAAGAGAAGAAUGACAUUGAGAGUAACUGUUCAAUGUGUGACGGUAUCUUACCAGAAAGGAACGGCUAAAUACGUGCCAGCAGCCGGCGGU